CAGUCGAACGGAAGCAAAGAUUUCGGUUUUUGCUUUAGUGGCGAACGGGUGAGUAACGCGUGAGGAACCUGCCUUUCAGUGGGGGACAACAGUUGGAAACGACUGCUAAUACCGCAUAAUGCUUUUGAGUGGCAUCACUUAAAAGCCAAAGAUUUAUUGCUGAAAGAUGGCCUCGCGUCUGAUUAGCUAGUUGGUGGGGUAACGGCCCACCAAGGCGACGAUCAGUAGCCGGUCUGAGAGGAUGAACGGCCACAUUGGGACUGAGAUACGGCCCAGACUCCUACGGGAGGCAGCAGUGGGGAAUAUUGGGCAAUGGGGGAAACCCUGACCCAGCAACGCCGCGUGAAGGAAGAAGGCCUUCGGGUUGUAAACUUCUUUUACCAGGGGCGAAAGAAAUGACGGUACCUGGAGAAAAAGCAACGGCUAACUACGUGCCAGCAGCCGCGGUAAUACGUAGGUUGCGAGCGUUGUCCGGAUUUACUGGGUGUAAAGGGCGUGUAGGCGGAGAUGCAAGUUGGGAGUGAAAUCCAUGGGCUCAACCCAUGAACUGCUUCCAAAACUGUAUCCCUUGAGUAUCGGAGAGGCAAGCGGAAUUCCUAGUGUAGCGGUGAAAUGCGUAGAUAUUAGGAGGAACACCAGUGGCGAAGGCGGCUUGCUGGACGACAACUGACGCUGAGGCGCGAAAGCGUGGGGAGCAAACAGGAUUAGAUACCCUGGUAGUCCACGCUGUAAACGAUGAAUACUAGGUGUGGGAGGACUGACCCCUUCCGUGCCGCAGUUAACACAAUAAGUAUUCCACCUGGGGAGUACGACCGCAAGGUUGAAACUCA
This 830-nucleotide ribosomal RNA is filed under the name uncultured bacterium. RNAcentral describes it as "bacterial SSU rRNA". It matches the Rfam family "Bacterial small subunit ribosomal RNA", at positions 59 to 903 of the family's 1533-position model. The record is from RNAcentral.